This 445-nucleotide ribosomal RNA is filed under the name uncultured bacterium. Its description in RNAcentral is "bacterial SSU rRNA". It matches the Rfam family "Bacterial small subunit ribosomal RNA", at positions 354 to 796 of the family's 1533-position model. The record is from RNAcentral.
GUAGGGAAUAUUGGACAAUGGACGCAAGUCUGAUCCAGCCAUGCCGCGUGCAGGAUGACAGCCCUCUGGGUUGUAAACUGCUUUUAUAUGAGAAGAAACCCUCAGAUGCGUUUGAGGCUGACGGUAUCAUAUGAAUAAGGAUCGGCUAACUUCGUGCCAGCAGCCGCGGUAAGACGAAGGAUCCAAGCGUUGUCCGGAUUUACUGGGUUUAAAGGAUGCGUAGGCGGACACUUAAGCCAGUGGUGAAAUCCCAUAGCUCAACUAUGGAACUGCCAUUGGAACUGUGUGUCUUGAAUUCGGUUGAGGUAGAUGGAAUAUAACAUGUAGCGGUGAAAUGCUUAGAUAUGUUAUAGAACACCGAUUGCGAAGGCAGUCUACUAAGCCGACAUUGACGCUGAGGCAUGAAAGCGUGGGGAGCGAACAGGAUUAGAUACCCUAGUAGUCC